Molecule: ribosomal RNA, 483 nt
Filed under: uncultured bacterium
Lineage: Bacteria
Description: partial 16S ribosomal RNA
Rfam family: Bacterial small subunit ribosomal RNA
Source: RNAcentral
GUGAACGCUGGCGGCAGGCCUAACCCAUGCAAGUCGAGCGGCAGCGCGGGGGCAACCCUGGCGGCGAGCGGCGGACGGGUGAGGAAUUCGUCGGAAUCUGCCUUUUUGUGGGGGAUAACGUAGGGAAACUUACGCUAAUACCGCAUACGUCCUACGGGAGAAAGUGGGGGACCGCAAGGCCUCACGCAGAAAGAUGAGCCGACGACCGAUUAGCUAGUUGGUGGGGUAAAGGCCCACCAAGGCGACGAUCGGUAGCUGGUCUGAGAGGAUGAUCAGCCACACUGGGACUGAGACACGGCCCAGACUCCUACGGGAGGCAGCAGUGGGGAAUAUUGGACAAUGGGCGCAAGCCUGAUCCAGCCAUGCCGCGUGUGUGAAGAAGGCCUUCGGGUUGUAAAGCACUUUUGUCCGGAAAGAAAUCCCUGGAGCUAAUACCUUCGGGGGAUGACGGUACCGGAAGAAUAAGCACCGGCUAACUUCGUG